RNAcentral lists this ribosomal RNA (465 nucleotides) under uncultured Klebsiella sp. Its description in RNAcentral is "bacterial SSU rRNA". It matches the Rfam family "Bacterial small subunit ribosomal RNA", at positions 338 to 795 of the family's 1533-position model. The record is from RNAcentral. Lineage: Bacteria; Pseudomonadati; Pseudomonadota; Gammaproteobacteria; Enterobacterales; Enterobacteriaceae.
CCUACGGGAGGCAGCAGUGGGGAAUAUUGCACAAUGGGCGCAAGCCUGAUGCAGCCAUGCCGCGUGUGUGAAGAAGGCCUUCGGGUUGUAAAGCACUUUCAGCGGGGAGGAAGGCGUUAAGGUUAAUAACCUUGGCGAUUGACGUUACCCGCAGAAGAAGCACCGGCUAACUCCGUGCCAGCAGCCGCGGUAAUACGGAGGGUGCAAGCGUUAAUCGGAAUUACUGGGCGUAAAGCGCACGCAGGCGGUCUGUCAAGUCGGAUGUGAAAUCCCCGGGCUCAACCUGGGAACUGCAUUCGAAACUGGCAGGCUAGAGUCUUGUAGAGGGGGGUAGAAUUCCAGGUGUAGCGGUGAAAUGCGUAGAGAUCUGGAGGAAUACCGGUGGCGAAGGUGGCCCCCUGGACAAAGACUGACGCUCAGGUGCGAAAGCGUGGGGAGCAAACAGGAUUAGAUACCCGUGUAGUC